This 324-nucleotide ribosomal RNA is filed under the name uncultured eukaryote. Its description in RNAcentral is "partial 18S ribosomal RNA". It matches the Rfam family "Eukaryotic small subunit ribosomal RNA", at positions 1470 to 1796 of the family's 1831-position model. The record is from RNAcentral.
CCCUUAGAUGUUCUGGGCCGCACGCGCGCUACACUGAUGCAUUCAACGAGUUUCUUCCUGGUCCGAGAGGAAUGGGUAACCUUUUGAAAGUGCAUCGUGAUAGGGAUAGACUAUUGCAAUUAUUGGUCUUCAACGAGGAAUUCCUAGUAGACGUAGUUCAUCAGACUGCAUCGAUUACGUCCCUGCCCUUUGUACACACCGCCCGUCGCUCCUACCGAUUGAACGAUCCGGUGAAUUAUUUGGAGUAGCUCUGGAAGUUGCAGAACUUCCUAUGUCACGAAAUUUUGUAAACCUUAUCGUUUAGAGGAAGGAAAAGUCGUAACA